CACUAACAUGUCUCGCUAACACACAAUCCCCACUCACCAGAACCACGAGAACCGGUUUCCUAAAACCGAUUACCGAACAAGCCGGAAGUUUCGAAAACCGCACCGGAAUUCCACUAUCGCUCACCUGUCGUUUUCGAACCCUCGAAACGACGCGGUGACCAGCCAAUAAGGCUCAGCGAUGCUACAAUCAACCACGAGGCACCGUCGGAUGAAUUCCGAACCGAAACCGCGUUCUAUCGGCGGAUUUCGCCGAAAAACGCAUCGAAAAUCACUUUCGAUUUCCGCAAG
RNAcentral lists this long non-coding RNA (288 nucleotides) under Ananas comosus (pineapple). RNAcentral describes it as "long non-coding RNA (ACOM_LNC041545)". The record is from RNAcentral. Lineage: Eukaryota; Viridiplantae; Streptophyta; Magnoliopsida; Poales; Bromeliaceae.